UUUUUUUUUCUGAGAGGUACUUUUCUUUUGUCUCACAUAAACACUUCAAUCAACAUGUGGUAGCUGCACACACUAACCGGACGACCGGGGUGGUAGCUCUUUCCUCCAUGUGGUGGUAGUUUUCACACUCCCAGCAGGGUUGUAACUCUUUCCACAUAUUGAAUUUCAGAAAUAUUCAUAGCUAGAAUUAGAAAAACUCCCUCUAAAUUAGUGCAACCCUCAAGUUAAAAAUAUUAUAGUUAUUUCAAAACAGAGAAAGAUUUAUUCAUCUCAAAACUAAUAAUCAAACAAAUGAUUGCAACAUUCAAAGUUCGACGCAUGAGGUGCUGAAUAUGAUCCAACAUGUUAACUAGAAUCUUAAUGAUUUGAUCGUUUAAAAAUAUGCAAAUAGAGAAUAACCCUGACAGUGAUCAAUCAAAAAGUAAAUAUGAAAUAAUUCAAGUCAUAGACCAAUUCACGUCCCAAAACAGCAACAUUCUUCUCGAAAUUCAAUCUACUACCAAACACUGAAAAUCAUGCAAGAAAAGAAAACAAAAUAUGCACCAUGCACAUGAUCUGUGGCUCAAUAGAAUAUAUCUAGAUUGAUGGGUUCAU
This 594-nucleotide long non-coding RNA is filed under the name Ananas comosus (pineapple). RNAcentral's name for it is "long non-coding RNA (ACOM_LNC044544)". The record is from RNAcentral. Lineage: Eukaryota; Viridiplantae; Streptophyta; Magnoliopsida; Poales; Bromeliaceae.